RNAcentral lists this long non-coding RNA (587 nucleotides) under Equus asinus (donkey). RNAcentral's name for it is "lncRNA (ENSEASG00005026909.1)". Lineage: Eukaryota; Metazoa; Chordata; Mammalia; Perissodactyla; Equidae. The record is from RNAcentral.
GCCAAGUACGUAGUUGUAUAUCCUGGUUGUGAGUCCUUCUAGUUCUUCUAUGUGGGAUGCCACCACAGCAUGGCUUGAUGAACCACAUGUAGGUCCAUGCCUAGGAUCCGAACCUGGGAACCCCAGGCUGCUGAAGUGGAGCUCAUGAUGUUAACCACUACACCACCAGGCGGGCCCCAAGCCUUAUCCUUUACCACAUAUGGGAGGCCGCUGAAUUUAAAUCAAGUGGAUGUCCUAGAGCUCAAAUUCCAUCAUUCAGGACCAAAUACAACUUCUCUGAAGAAUCUUGAAUACAGAGAGAUGAAUGAGCAGCCCCUGAUUAUCAGGAAGUUCCUGUUUUCUUCAAUGUCAAAUAGCAGUGAAAAUAAAAAAUCUCCCACUUCCAGUUCUAGGAGAAUAUUAGGCUGCACAGAUCCAGAGACUAACUUCUGGAGUUCCAGGGAAGUGCUGAACCAGAUGUCCUGGUGCAUGAGGCCUGGUUUCUCUACGACAGACGGAGAGGAGAGAGAGAAUGGAGUAGAAAAAACCUGAAGAGAUAAUGACCAAAAAUUUCCUCAAUUUGAUGAAAAACGUCAAUUUAAAGUUUC